RNAcentral lists this ribosomal RNA (492 nucleotides) under uncultured bacterium. RNAcentral's name for it is "partial 16S ribosomal RNA". It matches the Rfam family "Bacterial small subunit ribosomal RNA", at positions 29 to 507 of the family's 1533-position model. The record is from RNAcentral.
AGUGAACGCUGGCGGUAGGCCUAACACAUGCAAGUCGAACGGCAGCACAGUAAGAGCUUGCUCUUACGGGUGGCGAGUGGCGGACGGGUGAGGAAUACAUCGGAAUCUACUUUUUCGUGGGGGAUAACGUAGGGAAACUUACGCUAAUACCGCAUACGACCUACGGGUGAAAGCAGGGGAUCUUCGGACCUUGCGCGAUUGAAUAAGCCGAUGUCGGAUUAGCUAGUUGGCGGGGUAAAGGCCCACCAAGGCGACGAUCCGUAGCUGGUCUGAGAGAAUGAUCAGCCACACUGGAACUGAGACACGGUCCAGACUCCUACGGGAGGCAGCAGUGGGGAAUAUUGGACAAUGGGCGCAAGCCUGAUCCAGCCAUACCGCGUGGGUGAAGAAGGCCUUCGGGUUGUAAAGCCCUUUUGUUGGGAAAGAAAAGCAGCAGGUUAAUACCCCGCUGUUCUGACGGUACCCAAAGAAUAAGCACCGGCUAACUUCGUG